RNAcentral lists this ribosomal RNA (459 nucleotides) under uncultured bacterium. RNAcentral's name for it is "partial 16S ribosomal RNA". It matches the Rfam family "Bacterial small subunit ribosomal RNA", at positions 338 to 795 of the family's 1533-position model. The record is from RNAcentral.
CCUACGGGAGGCAGCAGUGAGGAAUAUUGGUCAAUGGUCGGGAGACUGAACCAGCCAAGCCGCGUGAGGGAGGAAGGUACAGAGUAUCGUAAACCUCUUUUGUCAGGGAACAAAGACUGGGACGCGUCCCCGGAUGAGUGUACCUGAAGAAAAAGCAUCGGCAAACUCCGUGCCAGCCGCCGCGGUAAUACGGAGGCUGCGAGCGUUAUCCGGAUUUAGUGGGUUUAAAGGGUGCGCAGGCGGUCUGUUAAGUCAGCGGUCAACUCCCGGGGCUCAACCCCGGCCCGCCGUUGAAACUGGCAGUCUCGAGUUGGAGAGAGGUAUGCGGAAUGCGCGGUGUAGCGGUGAAAUGCAUAGAGAUCGCGCAGAACUCCGAUGGCGAAGGCAGCAUGCCGGCUCCACACUGACGCUGAGGCACGAAAGCGUGGGUAUCGAACAGGAUUAGAUACCCUUGUAGUC